CCUAAUACAUGCAAGUAGGACGCACAGUUUAUAUCGUAGCUUGCUACACCAUAGACUGUGAGUUGCGAACGGGUGAGUAACGCGUAGGUAACCUGCCUAUUAGAGGGGGAUAACUAUUGGAAACGAUAGCUAAUACCGCAUAACAGUAUGUAACACAUGUUAGAUGCUUGAAAGAUGCAAUUGCAUCGCUAGUAGAUGGACCUGCGUUGUAUUAGCUAGUAGGUAGGGUAAAGGCCUACCUAGGCAACGAUACAUAGCCGACCUGAGAGGGUGAUCGGCCACACUGGGACUGAGACACGGCCCAGACUCCUACGGGAGGCAGCAGUAGGGAAUCUUCGGCAAUGGGGGGAACCCUGACCGAGCAACGCCGCGUGAGUGAAGAAGGUUUUCGGAUCGUAAAGCUCUGUUGUUAAGGAAGAACGAGUGUGAGAAUGGAAAGUUCAUGCUGUGACGGUACUUAACCAGAAAGGGACGGCUAACUACGUGCCAGCAGCCGCGGUAAUACGUAGGUCCCGAGCGUUGUCCGGAUUUAUUGGGCGUAAAGCGAGCGCAGGCGGUUAGAAAAGUCUGAAGUGAAAGGCAGUGGCUCAACCAUUGUAGGCUUUGGAAACUGUUUAACUUGAGUGCAGAAGGGGAGAGUGGAAUUCCAUGUGUAGCGGUGAAAUGCGUAGAUAUAUGGAGGAACACCGGUGGCGAAAGCGGCUCUCUGGUCUGUAACUGACGCUGAGGCUCGAAAGCGUGGGGAGCGAACAGGAUUAGAUACCCUGGUAGUCCACGCCGUAAACGAUGAGUGCUAGGUGUUAGGUCCUUUCCGGGACUUAGUGCCGCAGCUAACGCA
Molecule: ribosomal RNA, 838 nt
Filed under: uncultured Streptococcus sp.
Lineage: Bacteria; Bacillati; Bacillota; Bacilli; Lactobacillales; Streptococcaceae
Description: bacterial SSU rRNA
Rfam family: Bacterial small subunit ribosomal RNA
Source: RNAcentral